GACGAACGCUGGCGGCGUGCUUAACACAUGCAAGUCGAACGGUGAACUCCGCUUGCGGGGGGAUCAGUGGCGAACGGGUGAGUAACACGUGGGCAACCUGCCCUCAGCUCUGGGAUAACUCCAAGAAAUUGGGGCUAAUACCGGAUAUGACCGCUGACCGCAUGGUCUGGUGGUGGAAAGAUUUAUCGGCUGGGGAUGGGCCCGCGGCCUAUCAGCUUGUUGGUGGGGUAGUGGCCUACCAAGGCGACGACGGGUAGCCGGCCUGAGAGGGUGACCGGCCACACUGGGACUGAGACACGGCCCAGACUCCUACGGGAGGCAGCAGUGGGGAAUAUUGCGCAAUGGGAGAAAGCCUGACGCAGCGACGCCGCGUGGGGGAUGACGGCCUUCGGGUUGUAAACCUCUUUCAGCAGGGACGAAGCGAAAGUGACGGUACCUGCAGAAGAAGCACCGGCCAACUACGUG
Molecule: ribosomal RNA, 465 nt
Filed under: uncultured bacterium
Lineage: Bacteria
Description: partial 16S ribosomal RNA
Rfam family: Bacterial small subunit ribosomal RNA
Source: RNAcentral